UCUAAAAGGGUUUCAGAGAUCUCCAGGAUUUUCUAAAUCAAACUUGGAGAACCACUGGGAUAGAGGCUAAGAAUAAAAAUACAAGUGUCCUUGAGGAGCGGCCACUCUACUAGAAAUGGAUCAACUACAUAGCUAAGGAAGUCAGCAAAGAAUUCUCCUGCAGUGGCUGCCUCUGUUCCUUGGAAAGCAGCCAGCACAUUAAUUUACCAAAGCAGUUCAUGGACCCAACGGAUCCUCCCUGCCAAUGACACUUGGUGGACUGGCUCUUCCCUUGGAGGCCUCAAGUUUCUGGGUCUGUCAAAUGUCGGGAUUGAGCGUGCUGGGGUCUGUGGACUUGUUUUUUAAAUUCCUCUGAUAACUGUGUUCCAAUAGAAUUCGUUUCCUAUGAAAUGCUAUGGAUUUCAUUUUAGUUAACAAUGAGAGUCGGAGAAGGAGACCCUGACUGUCCAAAGGGUCCGGGACCCCAAGAAGAUUCAGAACCUCAGCUCUCUGAGGCCCUUUCCAAUUUGAAAUUCUAGUUCUAACACCAGCCCAGAAUCAAGCUUCAUGGUUCCUGGGAGCCAUGACAGCAGGUCCUGAAUGGGGCUGGUCCCCUUCAUGCUGAAGAGGGUCUGAAGCAUCUGGAACUCUCCUGGAGGCCGGCACAGAACCCUGGCUGUCCAUCGGCUGUCCCCCGAGUGGCCUAGCUCAUUUUCUGACCAUACCCAUCCCAGCCCAUUGGACCCAAGUCACUAUGAACAUGAGUCACAAACACUUAACGCUUACUAGCUGCGGGACUCUGGACAAGUCAUUUAAUUUCUGCCUCAGUUUCCUCAUCUGUAAAAUGGAGAUAAUAAUAGCACCUACCUCCCCUAGGACUGUUGUAAAAAUCACAUGAGGUUUUAUAAAUAAAUAUAUAUAUGUGUG
Molecule: long non-coding RNA, 906 nt
Organism: Antechinus flavipes (yellow-footed antechinus)
Lineage: Eukaryota; Metazoa; Chordata; Mammalia; Dasyuromorphia; Dasyuridae
Exons: 2
Source: RefSeq, a predicted model, not a curated record